CAGGUUGUCCAGAUCACACGGUGAAGAGUCCUCACAGCAACAGAUGCAGUCAUCUGGCAGUGCCUCAUGUCCACAAAGAAGGAUUUAGCGCUUGACCUGUGCUGGCCACAAGAAGACGCAGGCGGUUUGGACCGACUGCAACCUGAGCUGCCACAUAAAAUGACUCACCUGACGCUGACUGGGCGUGACCAUCCUCCGCUCACAUUUUCCCCCACCAAUUUUUAUGAGUGCAAAGCCAAGGUUGAAACUGAAGCACAAACCCACCCAGUGCUUCUUGGCCCACUUGUUUUUUUUAGCGUAUAUGUUGCUGAUGCAGGAUGGAUAGAGGGAUGAAAAAUGAGAACUAGUACAAAACAUGCAUGCGGUGCCUGGGAGCAAACACUGGGAAACUCUUUUUUUCUGUCAGGCUCUCCCAUUCUCUGUGGGCCAAAUGUUAGACAGGGGAAACCAUCACUCACUGUCUGUGCCUCUGUCAGGAUUGCAAUGAUGCUAUCUGUUGGUGUAAGCUUGACGGAUGCCACACAUGCAGGCUGCGGGCCCCAUGAGGGCGGAGGGCCAUGGGACACCUUGAGCCAGUUAUA
Molecule: long non-coding RNA, 581 nt
Organism: Centropristis striata (black sea bass)
Lineage: Eukaryota; Metazoa; Chordata; Actinopteri; Perciformes; Serranidae
Exons: 3
Source: RefSeq, a predicted model, not a curated record